RNAcentral lists this long non-coding RNA (246 nucleotides) under Gossypium barbadense (sea-island cotton). Its description in RNAcentral is "long non-coding RNA (GBAR_LNC002702)". Lineage: Eukaryota; Viridiplantae; Streptophyta; Magnoliopsida; Malvales; Malvaceae. The record is from RNAcentral.
UAGAUUCAAGUCUCACUUUUAGAAAUUUUGUGAUUUUUGGAAUCAAGCCUUAUCUUUGUUCAGAGGGUUUAUAUUUAAUUUUCUGUAAACCCAUAUCAGAAGGAGCCUGCUGGUUCGAGUGGUAAGGGAACAGAUGUGUUGGAGGUCCUGUGUUUAAAUCUUUGUGCUUGCAUGGGUAUUAUUUUUGCUUAUUUGUCUGAUAGAGUUUCAGUGGAGUUAAAAUUCUGAAGUAGUUGUAAGUUAGUG